This 399-nucleotide ribosomal RNA is filed under the name uncultured bacterium. Its description in RNAcentral is "bacterial SSU rRNA". It matches the Rfam family "Bacterial small subunit ribosomal RNA", at positions 975 to 1375 of the family's 1533-position model. The record is from RNAcentral.
CUGCCCUUGACAUCUAGAGAACCCUGCAGAGAUGCGGGGGUGCCUUCGGGAGCUCUAAGACAGGUGCUGCAUGGCUGUCGUCAGCUCGUGUCGCGAGAUGUUGGGUUAAGUCCCGUAACGAGCGCAACCCUUGUCCCUAGUUGCCAUCAUUCAGUUGGGCACUCUAGGGAGACUGCCGGUGACAAACCGGAGGAAGGUGGGGAUGACGUCAAGUCCUCAUGGCCUUUAUGGGCAGGGCUACACACGUGCUACAAUGGCCGGUACAGAGGGUCGCCAACGCGCAAGCGGGAGCUAAUCUCAGAAAACCGGUCGUAGUCCGGAUUGGAGUCUGCAACUCGACUCCAUGAAGUCGGAAUCGCUGGUAAUCGCGGAUCAGCACGCCGCGGUGAAUACGUUCCC